GAUGAACGCUAGCGACAGGCUUAACACAUGCAAGUCGAGGGGCGGCGGGGUGUGGCAACACACUGCCGGCGACCGGCGCACGGGUGAGUAACGCGUAUGCAACUUGCCUAUCAGAGGGGGAUAACCCGGCGAAAGUCGGACUAAUACCGCAUAAAACAGGGGUCCCGCAUGGGGAUAUUUGUUAAAGAUUCAUCGCUGAUAGAUAGGCAUGCGUUCCAUUAGGCAGUUGGCGGGGUAACGGCCCACCAAACCGACGAUGGAUAGGGGUUCUGAGAGGAAGGUCCCCCACAUUGGUACUGAGACACGGACCAAACUCCUACGGGAGGCAGCAGUGAGGAAUAUUGGUCAAUGGCCGGGAGGCUGAACCAGCCAAGUCGCGUGAAGGAUGAAGGUCCUAUGGAUUGUAAACUUCUUUUGUGCGGGAAUAAAGUCGGGGAUGCGUCCCCGUUUGCAUGUACCGUACGAAUAAGCAUCGGCUAACUCCGUGCCAGCAGCCGCCGUAA
Molecule: ribosomal RNA, 503 nt
Filed under: uncultured bacterium
Lineage: Bacteria
Description: partial 16S ribosomal RNA
Rfam family: Bacterial small subunit ribosomal RNA
Source: RNAcentral